AUGAACGCUGGCGGCGUGCCUAAUACAUGCAAGUCGAGCGAACAGACGAGGAGCUUGCUCCUCUGACGUUAGCGGCGGACGGGUGAGUAACACGUGGAUAACCUACCUAUAAGACUGGGAUAACUUCGGGAAACCGGAGCUAAUACCGGAUAAUAUAUUGAACCGCAUGGUUCAAUAGUGAAAGACGGUUUUGCUGUCACUUAUAGAUGGAUCCGCGCCGCAUUAGCUAGUUGGUAAGGUAACGGCUUACCAAGGCGACGAUGCGUAGCCGACCUGAGAGGGUGAUCGGCCACACUGGAACUGAGACACGGUCCAGACUCCUACGGGAGGCAGCAGUAGGGAAUCUUCCGCAAUGGGCGAAAGCCUGACGGAGCAACGCCGCGUGAGUGAUGAAGGUCUUUGGAUCGUAAAACUCUGUUAUUAGGGAAGAACAAAUGUGUAAGUAACUAUGCACGUCUUGACGGUACCUAAUCAGAAAGCCACGGCUAACUACGUG
Molecule: ribosomal RNA, 496 nt
Filed under: uncultured bacterium
Lineage: Bacteria
Description: partial 16S ribosomal RNA
Rfam family: Bacterial small subunit ribosomal RNA
Source: RNAcentral